GUGCCAGCCGCCGCGGUAAUACGUAGGUGGCAAGCGUUGUCCGGAUUUAUUGGGCGUAAAGCGAGCGCAGGCGGUUUCUUAAGUCUGAUGUGAAAGCCCCCGGCUCAACCGGGGAGGGUCAUUGGAAACUGGGAGACUUGAGUGCAGAAGAGGAGAGUGGAAUUCCAUGUGUAGCGGUGAAAUGCGUAGAUAUAUGGAGGAACACCAGUGGCGAAGGCGGCUCUCUGGUCUGUAACUGACGCUGAGGCUCGAAAGCGUGGGGAGCGAACAGGAUUAGAUACCCUGGUAGUCCACGCCGUAAACGAUGAGUGCUAAGUGUUGGAGGGUUUCCGCCCUUCAGUGCUGCAGCAAACGCAUUAAGCACUCCGCCUGGGGAGUACGACCGCAAGGUUGAAACUCAAAGGAAUUGACGGGGGCCCGCACAAGCGGUGGAGCAUGUGGUUUAAUUCGAAGCAACGCGAAGAACCUUACCAGGUCUUGACAUCCUUUGACCACUCUAGAGAUAGAGCUUCCCCUUCGGGGGCAAAGUGACAGGUGGUGCAUGGUUGUCGUCAGCUCGUGUCGUGAGAUGUUGGGUUAAGUCCCGCAACGAGCGCAACCCUUAUUGUUAGUUGCCAUCAUUU
Molecule: ribosomal RNA, 623 nt
Filed under: uncultured bacterium
Lineage: Bacteria
Description: bacterial SSU rRNA
Rfam family: Bacterial small subunit ribosomal RNA
Source: RNAcentral